This 1234-nucleotide ribosomal RNA is filed under the name Salmonella enterica. RNAcentral's name for it is "partial 23S ribosomal RNA". It matches the Rfam family "Bacterial large subunit ribosomal RNA", at positions 1073 to 2290 of the family's 2925-position model. The record is from RNAcentral. Lineage: Bacteria; Pseudomonadati; Pseudomonadota; Gammaproteobacteria; Enterobacterales; Enterobacteriaceae. RNAcentral also lists the same sequence under 1 other name.
AUGUGGGAAGGCCCAGACAGCCAGGAUGUUGGCUUAGAAGCAGCCAUCAUUUAAAGAAAGCGUAAUAGCUCACUGGUCGAGUCGGCCUGCGCGGAAGAUGUAACGGGGCUAAACCAUGCACCGAAGCUGCGGCAGCGACACUGUGUGUUGUUGGGUAGGGGAGCGUUCUGUAAGCCUGUGAAGGUGUGUCGUGAGGCAUGCUGGAGGUAUCAGAAGUGCGAAUGCUGACAUAAGUAACGAUAAAGCGGGUGAAAAGCCCGCUCGCCGGAAGACCAAGGGUUCCUGUCCAACGUUAAUCGGGGCAGGGUGAGUCGACCCCUAAGGCGAGGCCGAAAGGCGUAGUCGAUGGGAAACGGGUUAAUAUUCCCGUACUUGGUGUUACUGCGAAGGGGGGACGGAGAAGGCUAUGUUGGCCGGGCGACGGUUGUCCCGGUUUAAGCGUGUAGGUGUGUGUUCCAGGUAAAUCCGGUUCACUUUAACACUGAGGCGUGACGACGAGGCACUACGGUGCUGAAGCAACAAAUGCCCUGCUUCCAGGAAAAGCCUCUAAGCAUCAGGUAACAUCAAAUCGUACCCCAAACCGACACAGGUGGUCAGGUAGAGAAUACCAAGGCGCUUGAGAGAACUCGGGUGAAGGAACUAGGCAAAAUGGUGCCGUAACUUCGGGAGAAGGCACGCUGACACGUAGGUGAAGUGAUUUACUCAUGGAGCUGAAGUCAGUCGAAGAUACCAGCUGGCUGCAACUGUUUAUUAAAAACACAGCACUGUGCAAACACGAAAGUGGACGUAUACGGUGUGACGCCUGCCCGGUGCCGGAAGGUUAAUUGAUGGGGUCAGCGCAAGCGAAGCUCCUGAUCGAAGCCCCGGUAAACGGCGGCCGUAACUAUAACGGUCCUAAGGUAGCGAAAUUCCUUGUCGGGUAAGUUCCGACCUGCACGAAUGGCGUAAUGAUGGCCAGGCUGUCUCCACCCGAGACUCAGUGAAAUUGAACUCGCUGUGAAGAUGCAGUGUACCCGCGGCAAGACGGAAAGACCCCGUGAACCUUUACUAUAGCUUGACACUGAACAUUGAGCCUUGAUGUGUAGGAUAGGUGGGAGGCUUUGAAGUGUGGACGCCAGUCUGCAUGGAGCCGACCUUGAAAUACCACCCUUUAAUGUUUGAUGUUCUAACGUGGACCCGUUACCCGGGUUGCGGACAGUGUCUGGUGGGUAGUUUGACUGGGGCGGUCUCCUCC